This is a non-coding RNA of Hordeum vulgare subsp. vulgare (domesticated barley), 125 nucleotides long. The record is from Rfam. Lineage: Eukaryota; Viridiplantae; Streptophyta; Magnoliopsida; Poales; Poaceae.
CAAAUACUCCCUCCGUCCAGAAUUACUUAUCGGAAAAAUGAAUAAAAAAGAAUGUAUCUAGAACUAAAAUACAUCUAGAUACAUAUAUUCUUAUGACAAGUAUUUCCGAACGGAGGCAGUAAAUA